RNAcentral lists this ribosomal RNA (48 nucleotides) under Gnomoniopsis idaeicola. Its description in RNAcentral is "partial 18S ribosomal RNA". Lineage: Eukaryota; Fungi; Ascomycota; Sordariomycetes; Diaporthales; Gnomoniaceae. The record is from RNAcentral.
UAAAUGUCGUAACAAGGUCUCCGUUGGUGAACCAGCGGUGGGAUCAUG